AGCCACGCAAUGCACACAAAGCGAACUAUUCUUUCGCCUUUUACUAAAGAAUACCGUGUGUGCGUUGCAAAUAGUGGCAUACGCCAAUUUUUGGAGGGUUUCUCUUCAUUGAGGAU
This 116-nucleotide small nuclear RNA is filed under the name Capsicum annuum. RNAcentral's name for it is "U5 spliceosomal RNA". It matches the Rfam family "U5 spliceosomal RNA". From Rfam's summary of the family: U5 RNA is a component of both types of known spliceosome. The precise function of this molecule is unknown, though it is known that the 5' loop is required for splice site selection and p220 binding, and that both the 3' stem-loop and the Sm site are important for Sm protein binding and cap methylation. The record is from Rfam by way of RNAcentral. Lineage: Eukaryota; Viridiplantae; Streptophyta; Magnoliopsida; Solanales; Solanaceae.